AGGGGGAGCCGGGCGCUAAAGGAGACGAUGGACAGCCUGGGUCAUCUGGACUGCCUGGGCGACAAGGGGAAAGGGGGGAGACAGGUGAUAUGGGUCAGAAGGGAGAGAGCGGUCUGGAUGGAAUCGGUUUACCUGGACCUCCGGGGCCUCCUGGACCAGUCAUCAACCUACAUGAGUUGAUGCUGAAUGACACUGAAGGAAUCUUUAACCUCUCAGGGAUUUUUGAACCACAAGGACCAUUGG
Sinocyclocheilus rhinocerous is the source of this 243-nucleotide long non-coding RNA. RefSeq lists it as uncharacterized. The transcript is spliced from 4 exons. NCBI's taxonomy places the organism in Eukaryota, Metazoa, Chordata, Actinopteri, Cypriniformes, Cyprinidae. The record is from RefSeq and is a predicted model, not a curated record.